Molecule: transfer RNA, 75 nt
Filed under: Rhamnusium bicolor
Lineage: Eukaryota; Metazoa; Arthropoda; Insecta; Coleoptera; Cerambycidae
Description: tRNA-OTHER
Source: RNAcentral
UGCAUGGUAGCCCAGUGGGUAAAGCGCUUAUAGCUAUUUACCAAAUAUCGAUGGUUCGAAUCCAUCCCGAAGCAA